GAUUUCUUCAAAUUGCACUGGAUGAACAUUUGAGGUGAAAAUUCCUUGUCAAUUAUAGAAGAGCUGAAGAUUGAAUGCCUAAGGGAUUUUAAGAAGCAAAAGAAAAAUGCGAUUCGACGGAUGGAAGAAAAAGUUGUGGACUCCUUUGUGAAAAUCAAGGGAGAAAUCAUCUUUCCUGUUCAGCAUCUCUUGGAAUCUGUGCUUGGUCAAUGGAGUUGAAUGUGAAUAUAGGAGCCACCCUGUCACCAGAAGGACCAUCCAGGACCCUGCCCUGCAUUUGCUUCAGGAAUAAAGAAUCACUUUAUAUUCUGAAAGGUUCUGUGGCCUCCUUAAUGCCAAUGAGACUAAUCUGAAGAAAGAGCCAAAUAAGUAGCAUCCAGAGGCUGUGUUUAGACAGUGCCUCCUACAAGCAAGUGGCCACGGGGAAACUCCACGGUGGAAGUCAGCAUUAUCCACAAUAGAAUCAACCUGUGUCAUUCAGAAGAUGAAUAGAUAAAGAAAAUGAGCCAUCUAAGAAGUCCCUUUCAUCUCCUGCCAUGAUUAUGAGGCCUCCCCAGCCAUGUGGAACUGUAAGUCCAAUUAAAC
Long non-coding RNA from Cebus imitator (Panamanian white-faced capuchin), 585 nucleotides. RefSeq lists it as uncharacterized. The record is from RefSeq and is a predicted model, not a curated record. NCBI's taxonomy places the organism in Eukaryota, Metazoa, Chordata, Mammalia, Primates, Cebidae. The transcript is spliced from 5 exons.